CCAGACUCCUACGGGAGGCAGCAGUAGGGAAUUUUCGGCAAUGGGGGGAACCCUGACCGAGCAACGCCGCGUGAAGGAAGAAGGAAUUCGUUCUGUAAACUUCUGUUAUAAAGGAAGAAAGACGGAUGGAGGAAAUGACAUCCGAGUGACGGUACUUUAUGAGAAAGCCACGGCUAACUACGUGCCAGCAGCCGCGGUAAUACGUAGGUGGCAAGCGUUAUCCGGAAUUAUUGGGCGUAAAGAGGGAGCAGGCGGCAGCAAAGGUCUGUGGUGAAAGACUGAAGCUUAACUUCAGUAAGCCAUAGAAACCGGGCAGCUAGAGUGCAGGAGAGGAUCGUGGAAUUCCAUGUGUAGCGGUGAAAUGCGUAGAUAUAUGGAGGAACACCAGUGGCGAAGGCGACGAUCUGGCCUGCAACUGACGCUCAGUCCCGAAAGCGUGGGGAGCAAAUAGGAUUAGAUACCCUAGUAGUCCACGCCGUAAACGAUGAGUACUAAGUGUUGGAAGUCAAAUU
This 512-nucleotide ribosomal RNA is filed under the name uncultured bacterium. RNAcentral's name for it is "bacterial SSU rRNA". It matches the Rfam family "Bacterial small subunit ribosomal RNA", at positions 331 to 836 of the family's 1533-position model. The record is from RNAcentral.